CCUACGGGCGGCAGCAGUGGGGAAUAUUGCGCAAUGGGCGAAAGCCUGACGCAGCGACGCCGCGUGAGGGAUGAAGGUCUUCGGAUCGUAAACCUCUGUCAGCAGGGAAGAACGGUCACUGUGCUAAUCAGCAGUGCAUUGACGGCACCGUCAAAGGAAGCACCGGCUAACGCCGGACCAGCAGCCGCGGUAAUACGGAGGGUGCGAGCGUUAAUCGGAAUUACUGGGCGUAAAGCGCUCGUAGGCGGUAUGUCAAGUCAAGGGUGAAAUCCCCGCGCUUAACGUUGGAACUGCCUUUGAAACUGGCAAACUGGAGUGUGUGAGAGGAUAGUGGAAUUCCGGGUGUAGCAGUGAAAUCCGUAGAUAUCUGGAGGAACAUCAGUGGCGAAGGCGACUAUCUGGCACAUAACUGACGCUGAGGAGCGAAAGCGUGGGUAGCAAACAGGAUUAGAUACCCCAGUAGUC
RNAcentral lists this ribosomal RNA (465 nucleotides) under uncultured bacterium. RNAcentral's name for it is "partial 16S ribosomal RNA". It matches the Rfam family "Bacterial small subunit ribosomal RNA", at positions 338 to 795 of the family's 1533-position model. The record is from RNAcentral.